This is a small nucleolar RNA of Culex pipiens (northern house mosquito), 208 nucleotides long. It matches the Rfam family "Small nucleolar RNA U3". Rfam says of the family: Small nucleolar RNAs (snoRNAs) are involved in the processing and modification of rRNA in the nucleolus. Lineage: Eukaryota; Metazoa; Arthropoda; Insecta; Diptera; Culicidae. The record is from Rfam.
AAGACUGUGCUUCACAGGAUCAUUUCUGUAGGCAAGUUUUCACCACAAGUUUUUUCCGAAAGGAAAAGAUUUCCCACCCACGAUGAUGAGAAGGAGUGUCUAGCCUGGAGCGUGAAACUUGGUGGAGAUCUGGUUCGUUUGUAUGAACGGACCGCUCUACUGCUGAAGAUCGGCUCUCUUGCAAUGGCUUGGACGCAUUCUGAGUGGU